GCUAGGGGUCUCUAUAAGGAAACGUACAGUCUGGUUGAGCAGCAGCCUAUCUGCAAAAAGAGCCUGCCUAGAGUCAGCUUAUUUUUCUUGGGAGAACCCAAGUAUAAGCAGAUCCCAUCAAACAGAGUCAAUAUGGGACAAUUUCAGAACCAGGCCCGAAACUGACAUGCCACAGGAUAUCCAGGGAAAGCUUUCAUUGUCCUGCAAAGUCAUUCAGAAAACUACCGUCAGGAGUGACCUGUGACUGACUUCUUAGUCCACUGGAAAUGUAACUCUAGGAAUGCCUAUGCUUUGACAGAAGGUUGUUGCUUCUUGCCUCAAGUUCAAUGCCUACUAGCAUCUCCGUGACUUCCCUCAGUCCUGUCAGUUCCAUCAGUCACAGCACAAUCACAUAGUCAUUAAUUGACCCGUAAUUAACCUGAAAGCAUGAUUGUCAUCUAUCUUCUCACUGUCCUUAUUAACACGAGAUUUUCAUUCCAUCUCAUUGGGCUCUGAGUAUGUGGGUUUACAUAUUUUUGUGUAGUAUUUAAGGGUCUGACUCUUUGUAUUGUGUAAGACUUUUUGCUGCCUCAGUAACUGAUGCCUUUGGCUGCUGAAAAGCAGAACCUGAAAUUUAACAGCCAAAAGUUAUUUUUAAUUUUCUUCUGGUGGAGAACUAGUAUUUCAGUUAAAAGUAAACAUAACAAAAAUGGAUGCAAAAAUAGGAACUAGUGAAUAUUCAUCUCUUUUACUUCUGGUAGUUUUAAGUGCUGCAUUUGUUUGCACAUCUGUACAUUUACACUGCAAGUGCUGCCCAAGAAGAUGGAUCGAAUGCCAUAUUGUUGUGAAGAGAAAACCAUUUGUAGUAACUAGCAGUGACUAUGGCUACACCCACUGAAGUAUGGACACCUUGCUGGGAAAGAUACAUGUGCAUAACUUGCACCAGUUUUGGUUUACCUGGCCCUACUGUAUUUGUCUGAUGCCACUCUUUCAUGGGGGGUAACCAAUGGGGACAUUCUGAGAAGCUGCUUAAUUAAUAUAAGUGAUUGAUUUAAUUUUAGAAUGGGUAGGAAUGUUACUUUUGAUGGACAUUGCAGACUUAACAAAAUCUCCCAGGUUAUAAACAUCAAA
Long non-coding RNA from Chelonia mydas (Green sea turtle), 1110 nucleotides. RefSeq lists it as uncharacterized. Lineage: Eukaryota; Metazoa; Chordata; Testudines; Cheloniidae. The transcript has 3 exons. The record is from RefSeq and is a predicted model, not a curated record.